CCUCCUUUCUAAGGAUGAGUGAAAGUAAAAUUUCACUCUAAAUAAUAUACAUCGGUAAUGUUGACCGUCCUCAUUUCUCUUCUUAAAGUAAUGUUUCCUUCUUGUAGGGCCGGUAGCUCAGUUGGUUAGAGCACGCCCUUGAUAAGGGUGGGGUCGAAAGUUCGAGUCUUUCUCGGCCCACCAAAAACCUAAAUGGGGGAUUAGCUCAUCUGGGAGAGCGCCUGAUUUGCAUUCAGGAGGUAGCAGGCUCGAUCCCUGUAUCCUCCACCAGGAAACAUUUAGUUAUUCAAACUGUAAAUAAAAAUAAUUUAUAUCAAUAUCUAUAUCCGAACAUUAAAAGUUAUUAUUUAAUGUUCAAAAUAAAAAUUUGAUCACAACAUAGAUUAAUUUUCUUUUUAAAAGAAUUUUUUUCUGUGCAUAAAUCAAGCGUUUAAGGGCGUGUAGUGGAUGCCUGGGCACUGAAAGCCGAUGAAGGACGUGAUAUACUGCGAUAAGUUUCGGGGAGCUGUAUGUAAGCUUUGA
Molecule: unclassified non-coding RNA, 522 nt
Filed under: uncultured Pelagibacterales bacterium
Lineage: Bacteria; Pseudomonadati; Pseudomonadota; Alphaproteobacteria; Candidatus Pelagibacterales
Description: partial 16S-23S ribosomal RNA intergenic spacer
Rfam family: Bacterial large subunit ribosomal RNA (bases 421-522)
Source: RNAcentral